This 183-nucleotide non-coding RNA is filed under the name Burkholderiales bacterium. Its description in RNAcentral is "6S". It matches the Rfam family "6S / SsrS RNA". Rfam says of the family: E. coli 6S RNA was the first non coding RNA to be sequenced, but its function was unknown until recently. It consists of 184 nucleotides that fold into an extended hairpin structure with a large single-stranded internal bulge. The record is from RNAcentral. Lineage: Bacteria; Pseudomonadati; Pseudomonadota; Betaproteobacteria; Burkholderiales.
GCGUCCCUGCGGUGUUCGCGCAAAGGCCUUUUUGUUCCUUGAACCAAUGCGCAUUGCGCUAGGUCGCCGCGCUCGUGUCGUGGUGUGAUCGGCACGCGUUUGCUGAACCUAAACUACGCGGACGGCAACCAACCUGAACCCUAGGUUCAGGGCAACAGGCCGGGCGGCACGCGCGGGGAUUUU